GAUGAACGCUAGCUACAGGCUUAACACAUGCAAGUCGAGGGGCAGCACGGAGAUAGCUUGCUAUCUUGGGUGGCGACCGGCGCACGGGUGAGUAACGCGUAUCCAACCUGCCCAUUACUCAGGGAUAGCCUUGCGAAAGUAAGAUUAAUACCUGAUGUUGUUAAAAACCCGCAUGAGUUUUUAACCAAAGAUUUAUUGGUAAUGGAUGGGGAUGCGUGACAUUAGGUAGUUGGUGAGGUAACGGCUCACCAAGCCUACGAUGUCUAGGGGUUCUGAGAGGAAGGUCCCCCACACUGGAACUGAGACACGGUCCAG
Molecule: ribosomal RNA, 315 nt
Filed under: uncultured bacterium
Lineage: Bacteria
Description: bacterial SSU rRNA
Rfam family: Bacterial small subunit ribosomal RNA
Source: RNAcentral